This 436-nucleotide ribosomal RNA is filed under the name uncultured bacterium. RNAcentral describes it as "bacterial SSU rRNA". It matches the Rfam family "Bacterial small subunit ribosomal RNA", at positions 954 to 1392 of the family's 1533-position model. The record is from RNAcentral.
AUGGGAACGCGAAGAACCUUACCUAGACUUGACAUCUCCUGAAUAGUGUAGAGAUACAUGAAGCCCUUCGGGGCAGGAAGACAGGUGGUGCAUGGUUGUCGUCAGCUCGUGUCGUGAGAUGUUGGGUUAAGUCCCGCAACGAGCGCAACCCUUAUUACUAGUUGCUAACAUUAAGUUGAGCACUCUAGUGAGACUGCCCGGGUUAACCGGGAGGAAGGUGGGGAUGACGUCAAAUCAUCAUGCCCCUUAUGUCUAGGGCUACACACGUGCUACAAUGGUGGGAACAAAGAGAUGCAAUACCGCAAGGUGGAGCUAAACUCAAAACCCCAUCCCAGUUCGGAUUGUAGGCUGAAACUCGCCUACAUGAAGCUGGAGUUGCUAGUAAUCGCGAAUCAGAAUGUCGCGGUGAAUACGUUCCCGGGUCUUGUACACACCG